AUUGCACUCAGGCACUUUCUCAGUCGCCUACACUGGGUCCUUCGUUCCUCCCGUAGUGUCCACGUGGAGAUCAUCAUGCGCUCUUAAAGUGCUAUAGACGUGUUCAUUGUACAGCAUAUGGCGCAGCAGGAAGUGGCUGGUGUGCUAAGUCACAUGUCGACACCAUGAGGAUAAGGAGCAACCUUGUGCUUUUGAACUCCAGGUGAGCAGCCCUGCUGUAAAAAUUCAGUAAAGGGCUGCAACAGCAACAUGGACGUGGUUACAUGACACCUGGGUCUAUAUUCACAGAAGAGUGAUCCUUUCCAGUGGCGGUAAAUUACCCAGCAUUCAAGGACUAGUGGUGUGCGAGAUGCUGUUUUCUGCGUAUGUGAAUCUGCAUGACAUAGUUUUUAUAAAUAAAACCUUCUGUUUAACAGUC
Molecule: long non-coding RNA, 418 nt
Organism: Sinocyclocheilus rhinocerous
Lineage: Eukaryota; Metazoa; Chordata; Actinopteri; Cypriniformes; Cyprinidae
Exons: 5
Source: RefSeq, a predicted model, not a curated record